This 251-nucleotide long non-coding RNA is filed under the name Homo sapiens (human). RNAcentral describes it as "LHRI_LNC1949.1". The record is from RNAcentral. Lineage: Eukaryota; Metazoa; Chordata; Mammalia; Primates; Hominidae.
CAUGGUUCUGCAGGCUGUACAGGAAGCAUAGCAGCUUCUGGGGAGGCCUCAGGAAGCUUAUGAUCAUGGCAGGAGGCAAAGGGAAAGCAGGCAUGUCUAGGUGGCUGGAGCAGGAGGAAGAGAGAGAGGUGGGGGGAAGUGCUACACACGUUUAAACAACUAGAUCUUGUGAGAACAACCCCAGGGGACUGGUACUAACCCAUUCAUGAGAAACCACCCCAAUAUUCCAGUCACCUCCCACCAGGCCCCAC